GUGGGGAAUAUUGGACAAUGGGCGCAAGCCUGAUCCAGCCAUACCGCGUGGGUGAAGAAGGCCUUCGGGUUGUAAAGCCCUUUUGUUGGGAAAGAAAUCCUGUCGGUUAAUACCUGGCGGGGAUGACGGUACCCAAAGAAUAAGCACCGGCUAACUUCGUGCCAGCAGCCGCGGUAAUACGAAGGGUGCAAGCGUUACUCGGAAUUACUGGGCGUAAAGCGUGCGUAGGUGGUGGUUUAAGUCCGUUGUGAAAGCCCUGGGCUCAACCUGGGAAUUGCAGUGGAUACUGGAUCACUAGAGUGUGGUAGAGGGAUGCGGAAUUUCUGGUGUAGCAGUGAAAUGCGUAGAGAUCAGAAGGAACAUCCGUGGCGAAGGCGGCAUCCUGGGCCAACACUGACACUGAGGCACGAAAGCGUGGGGAGCAAACAGGAUUAGAUACCCCGGUAGUCC
RNAcentral lists this ribosomal RNA (450 nucleotides) under uncultured bacterium. Its description in RNAcentral is "bacterial SSU rRNA". It matches the Rfam family "Bacterial small subunit ribosomal RNA", at positions 354 to 796 of the family's 1533-position model. The record is from RNAcentral.